CGACUUCUCUGAAAGUGUCGGUGUCAGUGUGGACAAAUGUGGUGACGGGCUUGCAAGUUGCAACGUUCUGACUUCCUUGGUUAUUCAUUUAAGGAAUCACAAGAAAUGAUGAUAAAGAAAAGACCAGAGACUUUUGAUCAAAAAAAAGGAAAAAAGAAAAGACCAGAGACAUACCUGAAAGAGCAAGCCAGAGGCAGCAGGUGAAUGUGAAUCCUAGUUUCUGAACCCAACAAACAAGAAACUUAAAAGAAGAAGAAGACAACAAGAGGAAGAGAGAGAGAGAACUAAAAAGAAGGUAUAAAGACUGUUGUUGUUGGUCUAAUGGUCACAGCUCAGAACUUGUUCAUAUACCAGAAAAGAGAAACGAGGAAAAGCAGGAGAAGAAUAUGGAGGAAAUUGAAAAAGACUCUUUUAUCCCUUUAUUGUUAACCGUUUAUUUUUUUGGUUUAAGUUUUUGUCACUUUCUUUUUCUUUUGUUAAUAGAAAUUUGUUGUUUGGUCAAACAUCAGAAAGAAUGACAAUCUGUGAUGAGUUAUUUCA
Molecule: long non-coding RNA, 540 nt
Organism: Brassica oleracea var. oleracea
Lineage: Eukaryota; Viridiplantae; Streptophyta; Magnoliopsida; Brassicales; Brassicaceae
Exons: 2
Source: RefSeq, a predicted model, not a curated record